RNAcentral lists this long non-coding RNA (288 nucleotides) under Gossypium barbadense (sea-island cotton). RNAcentral describes it as "long non-coding RNA (GBAR_LNC017636)". The record is from RNAcentral. Lineage: Eukaryota; Viridiplantae; Streptophyta; Magnoliopsida; Malvales; Malvaceae.
UGAGGAAUAACAUUACAACUUCUUGACAUUAUGUUCCCAACCAUGUGUAUCCAUACAUAAAUACAUAUGGGCACAUUAUCCGUGAAAAGAGAAUUUUACAUCACCAGAUCCAUGGGUAGUUGAUUCUUUUCUCAUCAUUUCUCCCUUAGAUUCGAAGAAAUGGAAAGGAGGUCCCUCCAUUGUGACAAAGGCAACAAUAUUAGAUAUGGUAAAACCCAAAAAGUGGUCAAAGAAUAGGAUAUGGUAUAUAUGAAAAAAAAUGUUUAUAUCAUUAAUAUUUUAACAAAU